GACGUAGGGGGCCAGCGUUGCUCGGAAUUACUGGGCGUAAAGGGUUCGUAGGCGGUGCGGUAUGUCGGGAGUGAAAUCUCUGGGCUUAACUCAGAGGCUGCUUCCGAAACUGCCGUGCUCGAGUGCGGGAGAGGCGAGUGGAAUUACAGGUGUAGCGGUGAAAUGCGUAGAUAUCGUGAGGAAUACCAGAGGCGAAGGCGGCUACCUGGACAAUUGCUGACGCUCAGGCACGAAAGCGUGGGGAGCAAAAGGG
Molecule: ribosomal RNA, 253 nt
Filed under: uncultured bacterium
Lineage: Bacteria
Description: partial 16S ribosomal RNA
Rfam family: Bacterial small subunit ribosomal RNA
Source: RNAcentral